Molecule: ribosomal RNA, 776 nt
Filed under: uncultured bacterium
Lineage: Bacteria
Description: bacterial SSU rRNA
Rfam family: Bacterial small subunit ribosomal RNA
Source: RNAcentral
AGAGUUUGAUCAUGGCUCAGGAUGAACGCUGGCGGCGUGCCUAAUACAUGCAAGUCGAGCGAACGGACGAGAAGCUUGCUUCUCUGAUGUUAGCGGCGGACGGGUGAGUAACACGUGGAUAACCUACCUAUAAGACUGGGAUAACUUCGGGAAACCGGAGCUAAUACCAGAUAAUAUUUUGAACCGCAUGGUUCAAAAGUGAAAGACGGUCUUGCUGUCACUUAUAGAUGGAUCCGCGCUGCAUUAGCUAGUUGGUAAGGUAACGGCUUACCAAGGCAACGAUGCAUAGCCGACCUGAGAGGGUGAUCGGCCACACUGGAACUGAGACACGGUCCAGACUCCUACGGGAGGCAGCAGUAGGGAAUCUUCCGCAAUGGGCGAAAGCCUGACGGAGCAACGCCGCGUGAGUGAUGAAAGUCUUCGGAUCGUAAAACUCUGUUAUUAGGGAAGAACAUAUGUGUAAGUAACUGUGCACAUCUUGACGGUACCUAAUCAGAAAGCCACGGCUAACUACGUGCCAGCAGCCGCGGUAAUACGUAGGUGGCAAGCGUUAUCCGGAAUUAUUGGGCGUAAAGCGCGCGUAGGCGGUUUUUUAAGUCUGAUGUGAAAGCCCACGGCUCAACCGUGGAGGGUCAUUGGAAACUGGAAAACUUGAGUGCAGAAGAGGAAAGUGGAAUUCCAUGUGUAGCGGUGAAAUGCGCAGAGAUAUGGAGGAACACCAGUGGCGAAGGCGACUUUCUGGUCUGUAACUGACGCUGAUGUGCGAAAGCGUGGGG